GAUGAACGCUGGCGGCGUGCCUAAUACAUGCAAGUCGAGCGAACGGACGAGAAGCUUGCUUCUCUGAUGUUAGCGGCGGACGGGUGAGUAACACGUGGAUAACCUACCUAUAAGACUGGGAUAACUUCGGGAAACCGGAGCUAAUACCGGAUAAUAUUUUGAACCGCAUGGUUCAAAAGUGAAAGACGGUCUUGCUGUCACUUAUAGAUGGAUCCGCGCUGCAUUAGCUAGUUGGUAAGGUAACGGCUUACCAAGGCAACGAUGCAUAGCCGACCUGAGAGGGUGAUCGGCCACACUGGAACUGAGACACGGUCCAGACUCCUACGGGAGGCAGCAGUAGGGAAUCUUCCGCAAUGGGCGAAAGCCUGACGGAGCAACGCCGCGUGAGUGAUGAAGGUCUUCGGAUCGUAAAACUCUGUUAUUAGGGAAGAACAUAUGUGUAAGUAACUGUGCACAUCUUGACGGUACCUAAUCAGAAAGCCACGGCUAACUACGUGCCAGCAGCCGCGGUAAUACGUAGGUGGGCAGCGUUAUCCGGAAAUAUGGGGGUAAAGCGCGCGUAGGCGGUUUUUUAAGUCUGAUGUGAAAGCCCACGGCUCAACUGUGGAGGGUCAUUGGAAACUGGAAAACUUGAGUGCAGAAGAGGAAAGUGGAAUUCCAUGUGUAGCGGUGAAAUGCGCAGAGAUAUGGAGGAACACCAGUGGCGAAGGCGACUUUCUGGUCUGUAACUGACGCUGAUGAGCGAAAGCGUGGGGAUCAAACAGGAUUAGAUACCCUGGUAGUCCACGCCGUAAACGAUGAGUGCUAAGUGUUAGGGGGUUUCCGCCCCUUAGUGCUGCAGCUAACGCAUUAAGCACUCCGCCUGGGGAGUACGACCGCAAGGUUGAAACUCAAAGGAAUUGACGGGGACCCGCACGAGCGGUGGAGCAUGUGGUUUAAUUCGAAGCAACGCGAAGAACCUUACCAAAUCUUGACAUCCUUUGACAACUCUAGAGAUAGAGCCUUCCCCUUCGGGGGACAAAGUGACAGGUGGUGCAUGGUUGUCGUCAGCUCGUGUCGUGAGAUGUUGGGUUAAGUCCCGCAACGAGCGCAACCCUUAAGCUUAGUUGCCAUCAUUAAGUUGGGCACUCUAAGUUGACUGCCGGUGACAAACCGGAGGAAGGUGGGGAUGACGUCAAAUCAUCAUGCCCCUUAUGAUUUGGGCUACACACGUGCUACAAUGGACAAUACAAAGGGCAGCGAAACCGCGAGGUCAAGCAAAUCCCAUAAAGUUGUUCUCAGUUCGGAUUGUAGUCUGCAACUCGACUACAUGAAGCUGGAAUCGCUAGUAAUCGUAGAUCAGCAUGCUACGGUGAAUACGUUCCCGGGUCU
RNAcentral lists this ribosomal RNA (1371 nucleotides) under uncultured bacterium. RNAcentral describes it as "bacterial SSU rRNA". It matches the Rfam family "Bacterial small subunit ribosomal RNA", at positions 28 to 1381 of the family's 1533-position model. The record is from RNAcentral.